AUUGAACGCUGGCGGCAGGCUUAACACAUGCAAGUCGAGCGGGGGAAGGUAGCUUGCUACCGGACCUAGCGGCGGACGGGUGAGUAAUGCUUAGGAAUCUGCCUAUUAGUGGGGGACAACAUCUCGAAAGGGAUGCUAAUACCGCAUACGUCCUACGGGAGAAAGCGGGGGAUCUUCGGACCUUGCGCUAAUAGAUGAGCCUAAGUCGGAUUAGCUAGUUGGUGGGGUAAAGGCCUACCAAGGCGACGAUCUGUAGCGGGUCUGAGAGGAUGAUCCGCCACACUGGGACUGAGACACGGCCCAGACUCCUACGGGAGGCAGCAGUGGGGAAUAUUGGACAAUGGGGGGAACCCUGAUCCAGCCAUGCCGCGUGUGUGAAGAAGGCCUUAUGGUUGUAAAGCACUUUAAGCGAGGAGGAGGCUACUCUAGUUAAUACCUAGGGAUAGUGGACGUUACUCGCAGAAUAAGCACCGGCUAACUCUGUGCCAGCAGCCGCCGUAA
This 501-nucleotide ribosomal RNA is filed under the name uncultured bacterium. Its description in RNAcentral is "partial 16S ribosomal RNA". It matches the Rfam family "Bacterial small subunit ribosomal RNA", at positions 30 to 523 of the family's 1533-position model. The record is from RNAcentral.